GAUGAAGAACGCAGCGAAAUGCGAUAAGUAGUGUGAAUUGCAGAAUUCCGUGAAUCAUCGAAUCUUUGAACGCACAUUGCGCCUUCUGGUAUUCCGGAAGGCAUGCCUGUUCGAGAGUCAUUAACAACCGUUUCGAUCCCUUUCUUUCAGAAAUUACAAAGAGGAAAAGGGUUUGGUUAUGGUGGAGGAGGGAAAGGGAGCGUUUAGCCUGUAAAAAAAGAGGCUGUGUUCCGCCUCCCCCCCAAAAUUGUACAGGCGGUCGUGUGCGCCCACGCAUUGAGGUGUUGUAAAAGCUGCCACGGCACUUUUCACCUGUGCAGUGCGAGAUUGGCCAGCCGGUUUAAAAACCCCUCCAAACAAUCAAAGGUUGACCUCGGAUCAGGUAGGGAUACCCGCUGAACUUAAGCAUAUCAAUAAGCGGAGGA
This 425-nucleotide unclassified non-coding RNA is filed under the name soil metagenome. RNAcentral describes it as "partial contains 5.8S ribosomal RNA, internal transcribed spacer 2, and large subunit ribosomal RNA". The stretch from base 1 to 120 matches the Rfam family "5.8S ribosomal RNA", at positions 35 to 154 of the family's 154-position model. The record is from RNAcentral.